Molecule: long non-coding RNA, 326 nt
Filed under: Equus caballus (horse)
Lineage: Eukaryota; Metazoa; Chordata; Mammalia; Perissodactyla; Equidae
Description: lncRNA (ENSECAG00000041753.2)
Source: RNAcentral
AGGUUCUCGUCAAGAUGGCGCUGUGAGCAGACGUUGAACUCGCCUCCUCCCACGAACACAACCAGGUUACAACAAUUUUGGGAAGAAUCACCCUGGAUUGAAAACUGAAAACUGGAUAAAAAGAACCCCCACGACAAGGGACAGUCCUGACAAAAGCAGAAGAGGCAGUAACUCCAGCCAGAGAGGAAAAAAGCCACCUUUGGGAGCAGUGGAGAUUCUCAGCUGGCCAGGGGGGAGCCAACUUAAGCAUGGCUUAACAAGCAGUGCCGUGUCCACACCGGGAUCCAAACCGGCGAACCCCAGGCCAGCGAGAAGCAGAACGUGCG